RNAcentral lists this ribosomal RNA (519 nucleotides) under Triticum aestivum (bread wheat). Its description in RNAcentral is "partial small subunit ribosomal RNA". The record is from RNAcentral. Lineage: Eukaryota; Viridiplantae; Streptophyta; Magnoliopsida; Poales; Poaceae.
AUGGAUGCCCGCGGCCCCGCCUUCCUGUGUCUCCACCUCGCCGUUCUCCGCCAGUCUCCUCCCCGUGCUGACGAACUCCUGCCCGAGCCGCUCUCUCCGACCAACUCUGCUGCUGACGCCGCCCGGACCUGCUUGCGUCCUCCCGCGUCGCCUUAUGCACUGUACGAGCCAAGCUCGGCCAUCCCAUCAAGAUCCAACACAAGCUGCCCGAGACCUUGGCCAGAACCGCAAGUCGUUGCCUCUUUGCACCUGCGAUGUGUUGCCGUGGACGCAUGCAACCCUGGAAUCAAUCCCAAGCCCCAAGUACCACGACACUACGAAGACCGGACCGACAAGUACCACGAUGUCCGUCGGUCGUCAAGUACCUUCGGAUACGUCAAGUUAUCUACCGUCGCAAGAAUCAAGACCGGCAAGUUCAAAGACCCCAAGUACCUCUUCGAAAUGACCGAGUACCAUUACCGUCGGACGCUUGAACGACUACAGGCCGAAACGUCAAGUUCCUCGAUGAACCAUGUAUGA